GACGAAGGGGGCUAGCGUUGUUCGGAAUUACUGGGCGUAAAGCGCGCGUAGGCGGCUCUUCAAGUCAGGCGUGAAAGCCCCGGGCUUAACCCGGGAAUAGCGCUUGAUACUGUUGGGCUUGAGUCCGGGAGAGGAUAGUGGAAUUCCCAGUGUAGAGGUGAAAUUCGUAGAUAUUGGGAAGAACACCAGUGGCGAAGGCGGCUAUCUGGACCGGAACUGACGCUGAGGCGCGAAAGCGUGGGGAGCAAACAGG
Molecule: ribosomal RNA, 253 nt
Filed under: uncultured bacterium
Lineage: Bacteria
Also listed under: 1 other name
Description: partial 16S ribosomal RNA
Rfam family: Bacterial small subunit ribosomal RNA
Source: RNAcentral